AGUAACGCGUGAGGAACCUGCCUCAAAGAGGGGGACAACAGUUGGAAACGACUGCUAAUACCGCAUAAGCCCACAGCUCGGCAUCGAGCAGAGGGAAAAGGAGCAAUCCGCUUUGAGAUGGCCUCGCGUCCGAUUAGCUAGUUGGUGAGGUAAUGGUCCACCAAGGCGACGAUCGGUAGCCGGACUGAGAGGGUGACCGGCCACAUUGGGACUGAGACACGGCCCAA
Molecule: ribosomal RNA, 227 nt
Filed under: uncultured bacterium
Lineage: Bacteria
Description: partial 16S ribosomal RNA
Rfam family: Bacterial small subunit ribosomal RNA
Source: RNAcentral